Rhodamnia argentea is the source of this 177-nucleotide long non-coding RNA. RefSeq lists it as uncharacterized. Lineage: Eukaryota; Viridiplantae; Streptophyta; Magnoliopsida; Myrtales; Myrtaceae. The record is from RefSeq and is a predicted model, not a curated record. The transcript has 3 exons.
GUAAUUUGGUAUUAUAAGGUGUUUAGGUAGAUUAAUUAUGGUCGGUUUAGUUAGAAACUUGAUUUAGGUUAGAUGGCCACAAUUAAAUAAGUCAGACUAGAUAGUUAGGUGGACUGUGGCUAGUUGGUGAUUAGACUAAAUUAAAUUGUUUGAUUUCGAGCGAGCGAAAGGCUAGAG